GCUCUUGUGGCUCAGUGGUUUAGAGUACGCCUUUCGUAGAACGAUUACGACUGUAGUCAGCGUGAGGGUGGGGUCCCAGGUUCAAAUCCUGGCUGGAGCA
This is a transfer RNA of Kwoniella heveanensis BCC8398, 100 nucleotides long. It matches the Rfam family "tRNA". Rfam says of the family: Transfer RNA (tRNA) molecules are approximately 80 nucleotides in length. The record is from Rfam. Lineage: Eukaryota; Fungi; Basidiomycota; Tremellomycetes; Tremellales; Cryptococcaceae.